RNAcentral lists this ribosomal RNA (2623 nucleotides) under Acinetobacter baumannii 213697. Its description in RNAcentral is "bacterial LSU rRNA". It matches the Rfam family "Bacterial large subunit ribosomal RNA", at positions 313 to 2925 of the family's 2925-position model. Lineage: Bacteria; Pseudomonadati; Pseudomonadota; Gammaproteobacteria; Moraxellales; Moraxellaceae. The record is from RNAcentral.
UUAAGUUAUGUGUGUUUUAGUGGAACGCUCUGGGAAGUGCGAACGUAGAGGGUGAUAUUCCCGUACACGAAAGGGCACACAUAAUGAUGACGAGUAGGGCGAGGCACGUGAAACCUUGUCUGAAUAUGGGGGGACCAUCCUCCAAGGCUAAAUACUCCUGACUGACCGAUAGUGAACCAGUACCGUGAGGGAAAGGCGAAAAGAACCCCUGUGAGGGGAGUGAAAUAGAUCCUGAAACCGCAUGCAUACAAGCAGUGGGAGCACCUUCGUGGUGUGACUGCGUACCUUUUGUAUAAUGGGUCAGCGACUUAUAUUCAGUAGCGAGGUUAACCGUAUAGGGGAGCCGUAGAGAAAUCGAGUCUUAAUAGGGCGUUUAGUUGCUGGGUAUAGACCCGAAACCAGGCGAUCUAUCCAUGAGCAGGUUGAAGGUUGGGUAACACUAACUGGAGGACCGAACCCACUGUCGUUGAAAAGCCAGGGGAUGACUUGUGGAUAGGGGUGAAAGGCUAAUCAAGCCUGGUGAUAGCUGGUUCUCCCCGAAAGCUAUUUAGGUAGCGCCUCGGACGAAUACCAUAGGGGGUAGAGCACUGUUUCGGCUAGGGGGUCAUCCCGACUUACCAAACCGAUGCAAACUCCGAAUACCUAUGAGUACUAUCCGGGAGACAGACUGCGGGUGCUAACGUCCGUAGUCAAGAGGAAAACAAUCCAGACCGCCAGCUAAGGCCCCAAAAUCAUAGUUAAGUGGGAAACGAUGUGGGAAGGCAUAGACAGCUAGGAGGUUGGCUUAGAAGCAGCCACCCUUUAAAGAAAGCGUAAUAGCUCACUAGUCGAGUCGGCCUGCGCGGAAGAUGUAACGGGGCUAAAACUAUGUGCCGAAGCUGCGGAUGUAUACUUUGUAUACGUGGUAGGGGAGCGUUCUGUAAGCCGAUGAAGGUGUGUUGAGAAGCAUGCUGGAGGUAUCAGAAGUGCGAAUGCUGACGUGAGUAACGACAAAACGGGUGAAAAACCCGUUCGCCGAAAGACCAAGGGUUCCAGUCCAACGUUAAUCGGGGCUGGGUGAGUCGACCCCUAAGGCGAGGCCGAAAGGCGUAGUCGAUGGGAAAAUGGUUAAUAUUCCAUUACUUCUGUGUAAUGCGAUGAGAGGACGGAGAAGGCUAAAUCAGCCUGGCGUUGGUUGUCCAGGUGAAAGGAUGUAGGCAUGUAUCUUAGGCAAAUCCGGGGUACUCUAUGCUGAGAUCUGAUAGCAAGCUGUACUUGUACAGCGAAGUGGUUGAUGCCAUGCUUCCAGGAAAAGUCUCUAAGCUUCAGUUACACAGGAAUCGUACCCGAAACCGACACAGGUGGUCAGGUCGAGUAGACCAAGGCGCUUGAGAGAACUCUGCUGAAGGAACUAGGCAAAAUGGUACCGUAACUUCGGGAGAAGGUACGCUGUUGUUGGUGAUGGAACUCGCUUCCUGAGCUGACGACAGCCGCAGAAACCAGGCCGCUGCAACUGUUUAUUAAAAACAUAGCACUCUGCAAACACGAAAGUGGACGUAUAGGGUGUGAUGCCUGCCCGGUGCUGGAAGGUUAAUUGAUGGGGUUAGCGUAAGCGAAGCUCUUGAUCGAAGCCCCAGUAAACGGCGGCCGUAACUAUAACGGUCCUAAGGUAGCGAAAUUCCUUGUCGGGUAAGUUCCGACCUGCACGAAUGGCAUAAUGAUGGCGGCGCUGUCUCCAGCAGAGGCUCAGUGAAAUCGAAAUCGCUGUGAAGAUGCAGUGUACCCGCGGCUAGACGGAAAGACCCCGUGAACCUUUACUGCAGCUUGACACUGAACUUUGACCUUACUUGUGUAGGAUAGGUGGGAGGCUUUGAAGCUGGAACGCUAGUUCCAGUGGAGCCGUCCUUGAAAUACCACCCUGGUAAUGUUGAGGUUCUAACUCUGUCCCGUGAUCCGGGACGAGGACCGUGUCUGGUGGGUAGUUUGACUGGGGCGGUCUCCUCCUAAAGAGUAACGGAGGAGUACGAAGGUGCGCUCAGCGUGGUCGGAAAUCACGCGUAGAGUAUAAAGGCAAAAGCGCGCUUAACUGCGAGACCCACAAGUCGAGCAGGUACGAAAGUAGGUCUUAGUGAUCCGGUGGUUCUGUAUGGAAGGGCCAUCGCUCAACGGAUAAAAGGUACUCUGGGGAUAACAGGCUGAUACCGCCCAAGAGUUCAUAUCGACGGCGGUGUUUGGCACCUCGAUGUCGGCUCAUCUCAUCCUGGGGCUGAAGCAGGUCCCAAGGGUAUGGCUGUUCGCCAUUUAAAGAGGUACGCGAGCUGGGUUUAGAACGUCGUGAGACAGUUCGGUCCCUAUCUACCGUGGGCGCUGGAAAUUUGAGAGGAUCUGCUCCUAGUACGAGAGGACCAGAGUGGACGAACCUCUGGUGUACCGGUUGUGACGCCAGUCGCAUCGCCGGGUAGCUAUGUUCGGAAGGGAUAACCGCUGAAAGCAUCUAAGCGGGAAGCCUACCUCAAGAUAAGAUUUCCCUAGGACUUUAUGUCCUCUAAAGAGCCGUUCGAGACUAGGACGUUGAUAGGUUGGAUGUGGAAGCAUAGUGAUAUGUGAAGCUGACCAAUACUAAUUGCUCGUGAGGCUUGACUAU